RNAcentral lists this transfer RNA (86 nucleotides) under Actinoplanes octamycinicus. RNAcentral's name for it is "tRNA-Arg". The record is from RNAcentral. Lineage: Bacteria; Bacillati; Actinomycetota; Actinomycetes; Micromonosporales; Micromonosporaceae.
GCGGGCCGUGCCGCGGCAGCGGGCGGCGACCGCUGCCGCCGAGGUGGAGGCGUUGCGCCGGGCGGCUCGCGACCGGCUGGUCCGCG